Long non-coding RNA from Catharus ustulatus (Swainson's thrush), 1475 nucleotides. RefSeq lists it as uncharacterized. The transcript is spliced from 4 exons. The record is from RefSeq and is a predicted model, not a curated record. NCBI's taxonomy places the organism in Eukaryota, Metazoa, Chordata, Aves, Passeriformes, Turdidae.
CUACAACAUCAGCGACGGCAGAACAGGCAGCCCUCAUUCGGUUCUGCGCUCUGUGGGAGGGCGGCGGCAGCGGAGACCCGGAGCAGUUACAGGUGAUAACUAGUUUUACUCCACGUGCAGGGAUGCAAAGGACAGUAAUUCCAGGAGUACCUGACCUGGAAAUAAAAGGAUGCACAAUUUUUAAAUAUUUCACCAUACCAGCCUGUGCAAAGUGGAAGAGUAGAAACAAAGUGGACCGAGAUCUACUGAUAUGGCAUGAGGCUCCUGAGAAACAAAUGUGAUAUAAGAAAACUCUCAGAGCCCUUUUGGGAAGACCUAUCGUUCUGUUGGUUGGACUGGACCGUGAUACACACACCAAACCUAGACACAGACAUUCCUGUGCCAGCAGCCACAGUGGAUCUUCCGUGCUGUGGGCCAAGGCGGUGCUGUGAGCCAGUCCCUUUGCUGUGUGCGUUGAGACAACACAAUCUGGGGUCCACAGUUCCCUGAAAGAAAGAAAUAAAAACAUUCCAGCACUUCUGGAAGCUGCAGCAGUGGCAAAACUGCACAUACCAAAGCCAGCCAAAGCAUUCGCCAGUGAGAAUGGCAGGAUUGGGGGUUUGGGUUAAUUUUAAAGUUAAUUUGGAUAAUCAGCUUUUUAGCCUUGUGGAGGUUGUAGCAGCCCUGAGUUCAGCUUAAAAAUUCAAGAAGAUAUGAACUUUUUUCAGUCCCUGUGUUAAUUGCAAACAAAGCCCAUGCUCCCUGCUUCCUGACCUUGACAAUGACACUGCUUCCAGCAGCUAUAAAUGAAACUGAAAGCGGAUCCAUGAGGAUAAUUAUACCACAGCAGAGGUGUCAACACAUUGUUUGUCCUGUAGAACUUUUUAAGGAAUCUGGCGCACACGAGACAGUUCCUGAAAGUAUUCACUGAAUCCAGACCCCGAGCUUUCCCACUGCUCCUGUGGAGUGCUCAGUGGAAUGAUCACUAACCUGGAGGAAAUUGAGCAAAUACAGAAGCAGAAGUCACAGAUGGAAGAGAUAACAAAGGAUUCUGAUUUUUCUCCAGGUUUAGGAGGGUGGUGAGGCCCUGGCACAGCUUGUCCAGGGAAGCUGCCUCAUGCCUGGAAGUGUCCAAGGCCGGACUGGAGAGGGCUUGGAGCAACCUGGGCUAGUGCAAAGUGUUCUUGCCCACAGCAGGAAGCUGGAGCUGGCUGAUCUUUAACAUCCCUUCCAACCCAAACCAGUUUGUGAUUCUAUGAUUCCCCGAUUUCCUGCAGCUUUAUACUACCAAUAAACCCGAGUGUCCAAAGUUAACUGACUUCACAGACUCACCGGGGGAAGGAAAUGUGUUUUUGAGGUAUUACUUCCCUAACAGGAGCCUACACUGACUUCUCAGUGAUAUGCAAUCCAUUCCCUAAGAGCCCUAUGAACAGGAAACACAGCUGUGAGUCAUACAACCUUGUGGAAACUGGGACACAAAAAAAAAAUAAAAAAUU